GAACUAUAUUAGAAGUAGGCCCUCGCCCGGUGCCCUGCGGGGUUAACGGCGGUGUUAAGCCUUAAAGUAGCGUGAUAAGUUGGCCUUUAAUUGGGGUCUGGUAUGAAGGGGUUGACGUCGGAGAAACUGUCUCGGAAAGAUAAAAUGAAAUUUACGUCCUAGUGAAAAGGCUGGGAUGGCUGUAAAAGACGAGAAGACCCUGUCGAGCUUGAGGGAUAUGAAUGUUUUAACAACAUGAUUAGGAGUUUGGCUGGGGCAGCAAUGGAGGUAGCCUCCAUUUUUAAAGCAAAGAUCCAUUAGAAAGAGAUAAUGAUAAAAGGAAAAAGUUACCGCAGGGAUAACAGCACAAGACCGCCUCAGAGGUCGUAUCGAAGGCGGUGAGUGUGACCUCGAUGUUGGAUUAGGGUGAACCCUUUCGUGCAGGAGCGAAAGUUGGUGGGACUGUUCUUCCU
RNAcentral lists this ribosomal RNA (452 nucleotides) under Tridacna gigas (giant clam). RNAcentral's name for it is "partial 16S ribosomal RNA". It matches the Rfam family "Bacterial large subunit ribosomal RNA", at positions 1838 to 2587 of the family's 2925-position model. Lineage: Eukaryota; Metazoa; Mollusca; Bivalvia; Cardiida; Cardiidae. The record is from RNAcentral.